UAGGGAAUCUUCGGCAAUGGGGGGAACCCUGACCGAGCAACGCCGCGUGAGUGAAGAAGGUUUUCGGAUCGUAAAGCUCUGUUGUUAAGGAAGAACGAGUGUGAGAAUGGAAAGUUCAUGCUGUGACGGUACUUAACCAGAAAGGGACGGCUAACUACGUGCCAGCAGCCGCGGUAAUACGUAGGUCCCGAGCGUUGUCCGGAUUUAUUGGGCGUAAAGCGAGCGCAGGCGGUUAGAUAAGUCUGAAGUUAAAGGCAGUGGCUCAACCAUUGUAGGCUUUGGAAACUGUUUAACUUGAGUGCAGAAGGGGAGAGUGGAAUUCCAUGUGUAGCGGUGAAAUGCGUAGAUAUAUGGAGGAACACCGGUGGCGAAAGCGGCUCUCUGGUCUGUAACUGACGCUGAGGCUCGAGAGCGUGGGGAGCGAACAGG
This 429-nucleotide ribosomal RNA is filed under the name Bacteroidota bacterium. RNAcentral describes it as "Bacteroidetes bacterium partial 16S ribosomal RNA". It matches the Rfam family "Bacterial small subunit ribosomal RNA", at positions 355 to 776 of the family's 1533-position model. The record is from RNAcentral. Lineage: Bacteria; Pseudomonadati; Bacteroidota.